GUUGAUAAGUUGAUAUAGCACCAUGACAUUACAAAGACAUACAACUAAACCAUUAACAUUAACACACAAUACAGGAAACUUACAUAUAAAAGACAGUCUAAAACUUACUAAUCAAUAUGAUAGUAUCUUUUGGGAAAAGGCAAGCCUGGUAAAGAAAUAUCCGUUUCAGCAGAUCAUAUACAGAAAUAUACCAAUUCGCAGUAUGAAGUCUGUUGUAAAUCAUGUGCGACACACCAUUUCCAAGCAUCCAGUAAAGCUGUUGGUUAAUUAUCGUUGAUAAUGUUAGUGUGGUUCAAGUCAUUAUCGAAUAUCAGGAUUUUAAAUUAUAGAUUAUACCAUAAGGUUGCUACAAAAAGAAUUAACGAAUGUAAGAAGGAUAUUGAAAAUUCCACCACUACUACGACACUGGUGUAGAGAGCGUUAAUUAAUGAUUUAACUAUUAAAUGGGAGGAAGCUAAACUGUUAUAAAAACAAGAAGAUCCUAAGAAAGGAAGAAUAGCGGAGACAUUUACAAUUUUUAACAGUAAAAAUUCCACACCAAGACCUAUUAACAAAGUCGACCCUGCUCUUAUUAAUAAUGCCUGAAAAGCUUGUUUAAGAAAGACCCG
This 608-nucleotide long non-coding RNA is filed under the name Androctonus crassicauda. The record is from RNAcentral. Lineage: Eukaryota; Metazoa; Arthropoda; Arachnida; Scorpiones; Buthidae.